Molecule: ribosomal RNA, 403 nt
Filed under: uncultured bacterium
Lineage: Bacteria
Description: bacterial SSU rRNA
Rfam family: Bacterial small subunit ribosomal RNA
Source: RNAcentral
UAGGGAAUAUUGCAAAAUGGGCGAAAGCCCGAUGCAGCAACGCCGCGUGGGCGAUGAAGGCCUUCGGGUCGUAAAGCCCUUUUUGAGGGGAUGAGGAAGGACAGUACCCUCAGAAUAAGCCUCGGCUAACUACGUGCCAGCAGCCGCGGUAAAACGUAGGAGGCGAGCGUUAUCCGGAUUUACCGGGCGUAAAGCGCGUGCAGGCGGAUUGGAGAGUUGGAUGUGAAAGCUCCCGGCUUAACUGGGAGAGGUCGUUCAAUACUUCCAGUCUUGAGUGCAGUAGAGGGAAGUGGAAUUCCGGGUGUAGUGGUGAAAUGCGUAGAUAUCCGGAGGAACACCAGUGGCGAAAGCGGCUUCCUGGACUGUAACUGACGCUCAGACGCGAAAGCUAGGGUAGCAAACG